AUGAGAAACUGAAGUGCCUCCUUCCGGUCAGACCAUUAUGAGAAUUUUAAAGGAACAGGACUAGGAACUGGUUUUGCAGUCCUACUAUGGCUUUCUCCCUUUUGUGUCUUUAGUGUGAAGAAAAAAUACCCUCUUGUAAGUUAAAGAACAGUCACAAUAUGCCACUAUGUUCCCAUUUGAGUCACAAGAAGGAUGUGUCGGUAGUGUGUUAGGCUCAAGCUCACAUGAUCUCCUUUGUCUCCUGAGAUGCUGUUAGCAGAAAAAAAUCUCCACUACUUUGAGAUGAUGAAGUCCCCAUCAGUGAUUUUCCUGUAUACUCUACGGGUCUGUCAUGCUGAGUGCAGAAGGGAAUCUAGCUGUUCUCCAGCUAAAGGAUAAAUCAUCUGGAUUCUUGUUCCGGAGAUCACACAUUGUAUGCAGAGAGGAAAUGCUUUCAGUUCUGCGAGAAGCUAAGAAGGCUGAAAUGUGUUUCUUUGAAAAAGUUCUAGGGCUAUCUAUGUAGUAUCAGCGUUGUCAGGACCUGAUCCAAAGACCAUGAAAAUCAGUAGAAAUAUUCCCACUAACUCUAAGAAGCUUUGAAGGAGGCUUCCUUAAAGCAAGAGCAAGGUCAUAGAAGAAAUAAGAUAAAUAGAAAUGCCGACAUUUAAUAAUAAUAAUGAUAACUUAUGCUUGUUCUGUAUAGACCAAGGUAUUAUGUCUACUUUCUAGCUAGGACUAGUUAAACACUAGAAAGGAAGAAUUAUUUUAUAAAUAUCGCCGUUAUUAUCUAUAUGAUUUAUAUGAGUAUGAAUACUGCAAAAAUAUUAAUGGAAUUAUAUUCAGUGAAAAAUGGCAAAAAAAAAAAUGUAUGAUACAUUCCCAGAAUAAUAUCGACAAGGUCUGCUUGCAACACAAAACUCAGGGUCUUGUUCUACUUGAAAGAUGAAAGAACCUAAUCUGCAUUCUUUCUCUAUAAGAAUACCAAAACUAACAAGUUUAAGUUGGAUUUGCAGACAUUUACCUGGUUUUGGUAGCUUGAUUAAAUGUUUUUAGUAGUACUUGGUCUGUUCAGACUGGAGAAGAGGAUACCAAGGGGAGACCUUAUUGCAGUCUAUAGCUUCUUACUAGGGCAGGUGGAGGAGCAGGCACUAAUCUCUUCUCUGGCAACCAAUGAUAGGACCCGAGGGAGUGGCACAAAGAUGUGCCAGGGAAGGCUGGAUAGCAGGAAAAGGUUCUACACCCAGAGGAAAGUGGAGCACUGGAACAGGCUCACCAGGGAAGCAGUCACAACGCCAAACCUGACAAUAUUCCAGAAACAUUUGGACAACGCCCUCAGGCACACAGUGUGAAUGUUGGGGUUAUCCUGUGCAAGGACAUAAGUUGGCCCCAGUGAUUCUUGUGGGUCCCUUCCAACUCAGGACAUUUUUUUAUUCUGUGAUAACUGAGAAAUACUUGUGACUGCCUACCCAGAAAAAUAGUGAUUUUCUAUCAGUACAUUCAGUUUUAGUACUAUCAAUAAUAAUGUUAAGUUCUUAUAUGCUCUUUUUUUUUUCAUCCAGGAAUAGAAAGUGCCUUAGGAAAAUUCAUCUAAGCUCUGUGUCACAAUAAGACUCAUGAAGUGAUUAAAGCAAGGACAUCAGUGCAAAGAGAGAACUUUUAUGUUCCAGGCUGAUGCUCUAACCAAACAAUCAAUAUUCAUUUUUAGUAAGCUAGGCCCUCACAGUUCAUCCAGGAAUACACAGAAGAUCACAGUGAGUGAUUAAGGUGUGUAUUUCCAAGAAAGGGUCAUUGAGAAACGAAACAAAGAACUCUUCAAGUCUGAGUUUUGAAUAUUUCUAGGGAGGCAAAAAGAGCACACUGGCAACAUCCAUGAGCUCUCCAAAGAUUUUGUGUCUGUUACACAGUAAAUGCUGCAUAAGAAAAGUACUCAAGGCAUUAUGAAGAGAUAUUACCAUAGCAUAUCUUGUUUAGUCUGGAGAAAAGGAGACUGAGGGGAGACCUCUCUACAACUGCCUAAAAGGUGAUUGUAGCAAGAUGUGAGUUGGUUUCUUCUCUGUGGUAGCUAAUGACAAGACCAAAGGGAAAUGGCCUCAGGAUGCACCAGGGGAGAUUUAGAUUGGGUAUUAGGAAACAUUUCUUUAUUGAAAGAGUGGUGAAGCAUUGGAACAGGCUGCCCUGUGGAGUUUCCAUCCCUGGAAGUGUUCAAAAAAAUAUGUAGACACGGCACUUUGGAACACGGUUUUGUAGGCAUGUUGGUAUUGUGUUGAUGGUUGGGCUUGAUGAACUUAGAGGUAUUUUCCAACCUUAAUAAUUCUAUGAUUCUAUGAUAAUAUUUCAGAUUUCUCUUGUUACUGGAGAGUUGGUUGAAUUACCUGUACUUGUCUAUUUUAAUAUGGGUGUAACGAUGCACUCUCUACCUUCUAACAGAAUUGUUGUAUCACCAGUACAGGACAUUUGGUAUGUGGUGAUAGCUUGUAACCAUCAGAUAUUAUGUGUUUUCCAUGUCACCUAACUCAAAUUAAGACUCCUGUGCUUAGAGACAGAUUGUUCCCCUUGAUUCUACAUUAAAAAAAACAACGUGACUGGAUAAACCAGCAGUUUGGGAAAAAAAAGAAUCUUGUGAAUUCCACUGCAAUUUCUGUUAUUUAUUCUGGAAUGUUCACUAUUUUGCUGAAGACCUAUUUUCCCAGCUCUCUGCCACGGCUCAGGAGAAAAACUUUCUAUUCUAAUGAAAAGGUGAAAUCACGGAAGAGAAAGUUUAUGGCCAUAGCCUUGUUCUUACAGACAGGUUAUUUUAAUCAUCAACCAAAGCGUGGAAGCCCCUGCUUGUUACUGCAACCUUCUCCACCUCUGGGAGCAAUGUUCACUGACAUGAAGGCACUUUAUGACAAAACGGUAACAGCUAAUGAGCUACAAGAUAGCAGGCAUUUAAGAUGAAGGCUAGCGUGUAAAGAGCCUGGAGUUCUUUGUCUCUUCUUCCUCUUCAGUUUGCUGAGUUAGUGCUAGAUUUUUCCUGUUUGUCUCUCCAAACUGAUCAACAUGCAGCUAUGCUGCAGCAGUUGUAACACAAUGCCAUUUCCCCAAGUGGAGGUAAUUUAGCAGAUGUAGCAUACUUUCUCCUCUUUUAUAACAAGUGGUUCUGCUACUUGGUUCCCUCCUUGGUUCCACUACCUGCUUGGUUGUGAGAACGUGUGUACGAAUGUAUAUAACCAAAGCAACCAUAAUAUCUUAUCAUUCAUCACAUCGUUAACUGUCUGUAAUAAUAUUUCACUAGUUUCACUUUAAAGUUCAGAAGUAGUCAGAAUCUCAUUAAGAGAUGAGUCAUUUAAUAAAUACAUGAUCCACUUAUGAAAUGAGAGGGAGCAGUAGUGACAGUUCGUGGGUAAGAAGAACAUAGUCUAGAGUUAGGUUUUAAAUGGUGUGUAAAAAGAUUUAAUGUAUUUUUUUAACUCUAACUGUGCAACCUUCUUGAUCUAGAUAUGGCACUUAUUUUUAUGGCCAAAGCAGUUUGGACUCAUGGUAAAAGUCUCAAAUUUAUACUUUAUUUACGAACAUAACUUUAUAGAAUUGUUUAGGUUGGAAGGAAGAUCAAAGAUCAUCCAGUUCCAACAGCUCAGCCAUGGGCAGCGACACCUUCCACUGCAUCAGGUUGCUCAAGGCCUCAUCCAGCCUGGCCUUGAACACCUCCAGGGAUGGGACAUCCAUGACUUCUCUGGGCAACCUGUGCUGGUGCCUCACCACCCUCACAGGACAAAAUUUCUUCCUAAUAUCUAGUCUAAAUCUCCCUCCUUUCAGCUUAAAACCAUAGCCCCUCUUCCUGUCCUUGCAGUCCCUGAUAAAGAAUCCCUCCCCAGCCUUCUUGUAGGCCACCUUUAAGGACUGGAAGGCUGCUAUAAUGUCUCCUCACAGCCCUCUCUUCUCCAGGCUUACCAAUCCCAACUCUCUUAGUGUGUCCUCCUGUGGGAAGUGCUCCGGUCCUCCAAUCAUCUUCAUGGCCUCUUCUGGACCUGAUCCAACAGAUCCCUGUUCUUCCUCUGCUAAAAUCUCCAGACCUGAACACAGGGCUCCAGGUGAGUCUACAAGAGCAGGUUAGAGAGGGAGAAUCCUGCCCUCGGAAUCUAGAAUAUUUGCUCUUAUCUUAAUAAGGUGAGAAUAAAUAAAAUUUUGGUGUUAUCUUCAAUGAUGGUAAUGACACAGGUAACCGAAUACCUAGAAUGCAGUUGCCUUCCUCUGCCAAAAUAAGUAAGAGGCUUUCUCCACUUUACUGGAGAAUUUUGACAUUUAUAUUCAGGAUAUUAAUUCGAUAUAGAAGCUGAUGGCAAGAAAAAGUUCCUUUUACCAUGUUUUGACUUACUUAUUGUAAAGAUUAGCUGGCAGAUCGAGUAUUAAAUCAACUCUGGGCAUUACUGGAGGAUAUUUCUAUUUAGGAUUGCUAAUAAAAAAGCCAAAACCUGGUUUUAGGGUGUUCAUUGCUUUGGCAUUUCUGUGCUCUCUAGAAGUUAACUGUAAUGCAAAUAGAAAAAGAAUACUCAUUAAGUUUUAUUAAUUAUAGCAUAGGUAAAUCUAUUUGACAUGCAAUUAAUAUCACACAAGAAACAAAUGCUGUUAUAUUUUCUAACAUUGGAAUAAUAGUGAAAAUUUAUAUAACAUGCAUUUAAAGGGUAUUUAAAAAUGAAGCUGAUUUAAAUUGAAAUUUAACAGUGAAAAGUUAUUAACUGGUUAUGUGACAUCAAUGUGUAACUGAAAGAUUUAGGUAAGUCAUUAGACUGGUAC
Cuculus canorus (common cuckoo) is the source of this 4752-nucleotide long non-coding RNA. RefSeq lists it as uncharacterized. Lineage: Eukaryota; Metazoa; Chordata; Aves; Cuculiformes; Cuculidae. The record is from RefSeq and is a predicted model, not a curated record. The transcript is spliced from 3 exons.